This is a small nucleolar RNA of Scleropages formosus (Asian bonytongue), 134 nucleotides long. Ensembl annotates it as small nucleolar RNA SNORA22. The record is from Ensembl. NCBI's taxonomy places the organism in Eukaryota, Metazoa, Chordata, Actinopteri, Osteoglossiformes, Osteoglossidae.
CUGCACAGGGAACACCCAUGUGUGCUUUGUAGCUCCCUUGGUCAUUGACCUGUGCCACAGAAAUGUGUGGUCUGUACCUCUGCAUUAGGAGAGCUGCUGUUUCUUCUACAUGUAUUCAUCGGACCGCCACAAUU